CUGCCUCUUUCUCUGAACAGCUCCUCUCCGCCUUCGGUCUCUCUCGGCCUGGCCUCUGGGCUGGUGUGGAGUGGCGCACAGGCCGGGGCAGUCAGAGGGCGGGCGCGGCCCGGGGAGGAAACGCGUCUGAGUCACGGUGUGGCGGUGCAGCCUGGAGGGUGCUCCGCUUGUCGGUUUGACUCCUGUCCCAGGCAAAGGUAGACGGCUGCCUGACAGACAGGCCUGGUCACAGCAGGUUACAAUGAACUGUGUCAUCCGCGCACACCGGGCAAUUUCCUUUUUGAGUCACUUUUCAGCUACGAAUGAAUCAUACUCCACCUCCGUUCCAGCCUGAUCUUCCAAGCCCUUAGGGUCACGCCUGGAGAGGGGCCACCCGCCGUUGCAGCUGCUGUCUUCACCCUGCGGACUCCAGUUUCUGAAACUUGAAGGUUUUUCAGUCUUUGGCAAUCUUCCGUUUAAACUGAGUGUCUUCAGCAAAGGGCUUUACUUCAGGAUCAGUGAUGUGGGUCACAGUGGGAAGGGCAGAAGGGAAUGUCAGCGGGCAUCAUGGAAAUGGAAAAGACCGGAGGAAAAGUAUUUCUGAUUCAUUGUCCUUGCAUCCCCACGCACUGCCGAGCUGAGACUGUCCCUCAGUCACCCAACUAUCCAUUGCAGGAGGAAUGAAGUCCACCUUCAUCACCCCUGUGGCCGGGUGCCCCAGUCCGUUCCUACUCUCCUUGGCCACCUUAUCUUUUAGCCUACUGUGCUUCAACUUACUCUGUGCUGAAUUCAGCCAGGCUGCCUCUCCUUACUUUGUUCCCUUUGCUGCCUUUGUUCUUGUAGCUGGUGACUUUUCUUUUCUUUUCUUUUCUUUUCUUUUUCUCUUCCCUUCUCUUCUCUUCUCUCUUCCUUUCCUCUCUCUCUCUCUCUCUUUCUGCAUUUUCUCAUUUCUUCUCUCUCUUUUCUAGUUGUUGAAAUCCUAAUCAUUUUUCAAAGACCACCCAGCUAUUUUACAAAACUCCCCCAACCCUUUCAGUCCAUACUGACCAUUCACUCUCCAUGGCACCUGUUUUUUUCCUGAGUAUAACCUCUUGCAGUGUUCCACUAUCCAUGCUAUUUGAAGGCAGGGGCCUUGAUGUGUUUGUCUUUAUAGAUUCUGUUGCCAGUGAACAAGUGGCUGGAACAUUAAUACGAACCCAAUAAAUGGGGGCUGAGUUGUUGCUCCAGUUCUGGUUUUCCUGGGGACUAAUGAUCUGCAGAGCAUGAACAGAGGGGAUCAAAAGUGGCAAGUGGCUGUAACACUGCCUCCCUCUAGGCUGGAGGACUUUCUGCUUUCCAAAAAUGUGAAGGCUUCCACCUUCAUCCAAAUGGUUCCUAGAGAACCAAAUGAUGGGGACCUCUUGCAUGGCUCACUCUUGCCACCCAGCAUUUACUUAGUUUCAGAAUGACAAAGUUGAAGGUAUGUGGAUUUAACCUGGUUCAUAUUUCAGCCAAAUACCAGAUCUCUGUAUCCUGUCCAUUCUCAGUGGUUUGCUCAGAGAAGGUUGGAGUCACAGCCACUUCCAGCAAGGGGCUCAUCCAUACCAGGUCACUUGACAGUUUUCUAAAAUGGGGCUUGCAGAGAAAAGGAAGAGACUUUUCCUAGCCAAACUCUUAUGAAAAUAUGAAAGGGGUCCAGCCACUUGGAAAGACACUCCAACACCAUCACUGAGCACACUUGUUCUUCAGGAGGAACAAGAAUACUGGAAUCUAUCUCUUAAGAUUGAACAAUGUCUGAAAAAGCAAAAUGAAGCAAAACAAAAUUAAUGAUAAAUUUCUGUACUGUUUUAAAAAACUGAAUUUUGUAUUUUUAAAUCUGCUUAUAAGGAGCUUUACUAAUUAAAUAGUUAUACUUAAUAGUUUAAUAGUUUUGAUCAAGAUGGGAGUUCAGUAUAUAUUGUUAAACAUCAAUAUUGGUUACAAAAAUGCAAAGAUAUUUACAAUGUAAAGAAUUAAUCCAUGAAGUUUUCAUGGCUGACUGUAAUAUUUUUCCCUCAGAGGACAGAUGAUGAAGGAAGAACUAGGAGGGAGAGGUCAGCCCUUCACAACUCUUGUCUAUUGGCCUUAGAAAAUAGAUGAUGUGUCCAUCAGAUACAGCCAAUUUAUCAGAAGACAAUAAUGAUUAUGGUGUCCUUUUCAAAAACACGAUAACAUCCUUUGGAGAUACAUCUGUGCAUUGAGUGUGCUAUGGAUGUCGUUUUCAGAAAAUUUUUUUAUAUCUUCUUGUCCUAGGCAUCCUAAGCACUAUUUUAAUUCCUUCAGAGGGUGAAGGGAACUUGUAUGAUGCACUUUUGGACUAUAGAAUUGUUAUUUUGUCUUUCCUUCGUCCAUACAUUCCAUCUGUGACUCUGUAGAAUCUUUUGUUGGAGCCAUUGCCUGGGGCUGAUUAAUUGCCACUUCACCCAGAGUGCCAUGAACUCUCAAGAUAAGGCUUGAGAUAAAAUGGAAAACAUCAAAGCUAAGCAUACAUUCACACUCUGCAAACCACAGAGCGCAUUCACAUGGCAUAGGCACACGUGGGUGUGCACACGACUAUCAGCCUCCUUGAUUGAUUGGGUAAAGUGGCAGGCAGAGGUGUAUGUAUCUGCGGAGUCACAAAUGGUGAGCUGAGCAGCACCUGCUGUCCUGUGAUGUGGCCAUUUGUCUUAAAAGGCCAGUGAGAGAGACAGAGACCUGAAUCCCUGAACCUUUGGAGAACUCUGAACAGCAGGGGCACCCUGGUGGAACAAAGGGCCUCCCGACAUAUGUGAGGGCUGCUUUUCGUCAACCAGGUAUCACAUUCCGGCCACAGCAUGACAGACAAAUGCCAGGCCAGAUGAGGAGAUACAAUCUGCUGAACCUGAUGCUCCUAUACCUGGGUCUUGUGAGGGGAGCAGAUGCUGUGUCAGUAUGGAUGCAGGUGUGAAAAUAGGGGGAGAAAAGCCCCAAUACAAAAGUCCAGAGGCUCUAGGGGAGGCUCACUUUUCGAAGUUAUUGAUCCUAACUCUCGUGUAACAUAAAUCUUGUCUGUGCGGUGUUGUGUUGAAAUUUUCUGGCAGAAGAAGCCUGAGGGAAGAUUUGACGUUAGAAACUGAAGGCCACUACGACAGUGUGCCUUUUCUCUCAUGACUCCUAUCAUCAUACUCGAUGGAGGGACCUUAUUUAUAGUUUGGGUAUACUUGGGUGGGUCAUAGGAGAGACUCACCCGGUGAGCUUGUUACUCCUUGACUAUCUCACUGUCUCAGAAACUUGACUUUCUUAGCAAGGAAGCCCAAGCCUACAUCACACAAGAGGUUGGGUGCUCUACUCAUGGCCUUGAAGAUGUCUGCUGUCCACCUACUGGAUAAUUUGUGAGAUCAGAAUUCAAAAGUUUCUUAAUUCUCUAGUUGUUUUUAUACACACAUUAUUUGUUGAGCAUCUUCUAUAUGUUAGUGUACUCUCUGCUUAGAUGAAAUGCCUAGCAUCUGCGUAAUAAAGAAAAUAUUAACGAAAGUUUGAUAAUAAAGACUCUGCUUACUUCUAAGGUAAAUACCAGCUCCUUCCUGGAACAUGGAAGCAUCUAAAGGGGAAGUUUGCAGCUUCAGAAAAUGUUCAAAUCUGCUUAUCAGUGGGAGGACUGAUGUUGCUUCUCCUACAUCUGGUUCCUUUCCCUUCCCCUAUCUUUCUUCUUAGUAAUAAUAUUGUAAUUCUGACUGCCUUCUCUUAGAGUUUGC
Molecule: long non-coding RNA, 3710 nt
Organism: Heterocephalus glaber (naked mole-rat)
Lineage: Eukaryota; Metazoa; Chordata; Mammalia; Rodentia; Bathyergidae
Source: Ensembl